RNAcentral lists this ribosomal RNA (468 nucleotides) under uncultured bacterium. RNAcentral describes it as "partial 16S ribosomal RNA". It matches the Rfam family "Bacterial small subunit ribosomal RNA", at positions 28 to 507 of the family's 1533-position model. The record is from RNAcentral.
GACGAACGCUGGCGGCGUGCUUAACACAUGCAAGUCGAACGGAAAGGCCCUGCUUUUGUGGGGCGCUCGAGUGGCGAACGGGUGAGUAACACGUGAGUAACCUGCCCUUGACUUUGGGAUAACUUCAGGAAACUGGGGCUAAUACCGGAUAGGAGCUCCUGCUGCAUGGUGGGGGUUGGAAAGUUUCGGCGGUUGGGGAUGGAGGCUGGGCUUAUGAGCUUGUUGGUGGGGUAGUGGCUUACCAAGGCUUUGACGGGUAGCCUGCCUGAGAGGGUGAACGGCCACAUUGGGACUGAGAUACGGCCCAGACUCCUACGGGAGGCAGCAGUGGGGAAUAUUGCACAAUGGGCGGAAGCCUGAUGCAGCAACGCCGCGUGCGGGAUGACGGCCUUCGGGUUGUAAACCGCUUUCGCCUGUGACGAAGCGUGAGUGACGGUAAUGGGUAAAGAAGCACCGGCUAACUACGUG